CAGUUAAAUAGAGUAAUUAAUGUUUCCGAGGUUAAACUAAAACUAUUUAUGUCAGCGAUAAUAUACCUAAGCACUGCAAAAAAAGCCCUAUUAAUUAAACAUUUCGACCCUAUCUCUAAAUAAAUCUAGUUAUUGGAGCGGAGAAGACAGUUCCAGGGUCAUUUAAUUCAAGUACGAGAAUCUAUUGAGCUGGCAGGAAACAGCUCGCAGCCGGAAAAUAGCUCGCAAAGGGGACUUGGAACAAUGCUUAAUUUUCAAUAUAUCACUCACUGCUAUCGUUUAACUGUCCCUUUGCGACUUCAAUACACUGCAAAUACAUCAGAUAAACACUUAAAAUCAGUAGAAGGCUUUAAAACAAACACAUAGGAGAUUACAUAGGAGGAACUACUCUGAGCUGAUACUCACUCCUGGUUUGGGCAAUCUCAACGCUUAUAUAUAGAUCACAGGUGGUUAAAGAGACAUAAAUCAAGGCAAAUUAAGACGUUUUUUGCUGUCUUUACCCCAUUGGACAUGUGUAGUGGCUAGUAUCGAGACUUAUUUCCCCGAGGAGGCAUUUCUCGCACACACCCGGUCCCAGCCGUGGAGGGAGGAGGCUGGUGUGUUAUUUUUGUGUUUUUUGAAGCGAAUUAUCCUGUUGCCGAGGGAGCCAUGCACCUGGAAACGGCUGGGGAAGGAGACGGUGGCUGAGUGGUUAGCGUGCCGGUCCUGCGUUCACUGCGUCAUGGAUGAUGAGGGUUUGAAUCAGUCGCUGCCACAGACUACUUGUCCUGAAGACCACCACCAUCAUCCUGGACUGUAUGGGACUGUCCAAGGGAAAGCAAGAUGGGGCCGCUAUAAACACUUGCCGGCUUGGGCCCACCACCAGGCCCAGCCAAGGGAGGUUGGUGUAGCAGUGCCGGGAGGUUCCAUAACACAGGGCACUCCUCACCUCAACAACAGUCUCUUCACCGACAAGUAAUUCUUCACCAACAAGCUUUUCAGCAGCUUGGAGGAAUAGAGACAAGAGGAGGAGGAGGAAGAAGAGGAGGAGGAAGAUUAGGAGGAGGAGGACUUUGAAGACUGACAGACAGACAUCAUUCCAGUGAUGGAAGAGGAAGAGGAAG
Eriocheir sinensis (Chinese mitten crab) is the source of this 1103-nucleotide long non-coding RNA. RefSeq lists it as uncharacterized. The record is from RefSeq and is a predicted model, not a curated record. NCBI's taxonomy places the organism in Eukaryota, Metazoa, Arthropoda, Malacostraca, Decapoda, Varunidae. The transcript is spliced from 5 exons.